CCCCAGCUUGGAGUUUGCAGUCCCGGCCUUUGGGGUCUCCGUGCCAGGGGGUGCGGCGCUGGCAUCUCCGCCGCUCUUGUGUAGUCUGCGUAAUAAGCGGGAUACGAAAAGGACUCGCCGUUUCUUUACCCGCCGCUCUGCUGGCCUGGGCGGCGGCUGCUGGACGGCACGCGAGGGACCUGCGGGGAGGGAAGCGGGCUCCAGGCCCCACCCAGUUUGUGCAGUCUCCCUCGCCCCGGGCCAGAUCCUGCUUUAGGGCCCUGCCCUCCUCCAAGGCUCCUCCCCGCCGCCCCUUGAAGUGUGACCACGUCUCCUUCAGGAUACUGUCCCCAGAGCUGCCCCAGCCAUGCCACCCGGGCACGCUCAGUACCUCCGUCGAGAAAUUUGCGAACACACAGCGAAGUGCCACACAGCUGUGUCCUCGCCACCGACGGUCCGUUUACCUCGGGAUGGACUAUCGCCUCCUCGCAUCUGGAUCGCCCUCCGUUCAUCUCAGAGUCCGCGGCAUUUUGGUAACCCAGAUGCUUAUCGAGCUGUUGCGUGUUCCCUUCACCCCAGAAAGUUCCCUCAAGCUCUUUCUGGUCAACUCCCAGUCCACUCAGAGGCAAGGGUAUCCUGCCUAGUGAUACUGGAGCUAAAGCAAAGGAAAAAAUAUUCUUUAAUGGUUAAUUUUUUCCCAGGACACUUGAUGAGGGGAAAACCCAUUGAAAAGUGAAAAGCAGAUAUAUUAAAACUCAAAAUAUUUUAAGUUUAACUGUUUUAUAUAUACGAAAACCAACUGAUCAUUUUGCUUUCUUUGUUGUAAUCGAAACAAAGUCAUCGAUAUUUCCGAAGUCUACUACUUUUCUUUCUUUCUUUCUUUUUCUUUUUAAGGGCCACACCUGCUGCAUACGGAAAUUCCCAGGCUAGGGGUCCAAUCAGAGCUACAGCUGCAGGCCUACACCACAGCCACAGCAACGCCAGAUCCUCAAGCCACUGAGCAAGGCCAGGGAUUGAACCCACAUUCUCAUGGAUACUUGUCAGGUUCAUUACUGCUGAGCCACAACGGGAACUCCUGCAAAGUCCACUACUUGUCUUGUUUUUAAUGGAGAGAAUUGCCACGUUCAUUUCUUUUGACCAAGUGAUCUUAAAUAAUUUGUCACUAGCUGCAGCUUACUGAAACCUCUUACAGGGUGCCAGAGUGACGAGUAGUGCUAACAAGCGUCUCAAGGCCACUUCCAAAUUGGAUCGGAUUGCACUAAGCAAAUUUUUGUAUCACUCUUAGAAGAUCCAAAUGUGGUGUUAACACUAUGUUAUAAAUUACUGAUAUUGCUGCUUAAAACUGUCAGAGGAAAUUGCUAUAGGACUUAAAUCAGAAUAUUUGAAUCAAAUAAGUGGCUGCUUUGUGUAAAUCAGACUUAUCCAUAGAAAAUAACUUUUCCAGUUACAAAUUCAAAAUCUAAGAAUUUUUUUUUUUUUUUUUUUUUUUUUUUUUGGCUAUUUCUCGGGCCGCUCCCACAGCAUGUGGAGGUUCCCAGGCUAGGGGUUGAAUCGGAGCUGCAGCCACCAGCCUACGCCAGAGCCACAGCAACGCAGGAUCCGAGCCGUGUCUGCGACCUACACCACAGCUCACGGCAACGCCGGAUUGUUAACCCACUGAGCAAGGGCAGGGACCGAACCUGCAACCUCAUGGUUCCUAGUCGGAUUCGUUAACCACUGCGCCACGACGGGAACUCCAAAAUCUAAGAAAUUUUAAUUUUUCAUACCUUAAUUUCAAAUGUGAAAUUAGGAUAUCUAUAAUCUUCUUAGUUUGCAUCUGAUAUGCAUAUAUCCCUAGCCUGGGAACUUCCAUAUGCCGCUGGUGCAUCCCUUAAAAAAAAUUAUAAAUGUCUUUGCGUGUGCAGUGCCUGGACUGCAUUUUAUCUUGAUCCUCAUGGAGUAACCAGAUGAGGUUUUUUUUCCACUUUUUUGUUUUUAGAGCCGCAUAGAUCAAAUUUGUGGAAUUUCCCCAGGCUAGGGGUCGAAUCAGAGCUGCAGCUGCUGGCCUACACCACAGCCACCAUCGCAGGAUCUGAACCACAACUUCAACCUGCACACAGCUCACAGCAAUGCCAGAUCCUUCCCCGACUGAGUGAGGCCAGGCAUUGAACCCGCAUCCUCAUGGAUACAAGUUGGGUUCUUAAGAGGCUGUGCCACAACGGGAACUCCUCAGUUUGGAUAUUUUUAAAGGACAUUUCCAUUGUAGAAAACAUCACAGUGGGAUAUCAAGUUUUCAAAGUCAAGAUUCUGUUUAAAUUUUUUAAAUAUUUGAAACCUCUUAGGGGGGUUGCAAAUAUUGAUUCUGAUGUAUUAUCGUGGGAAAAUAUGCAUGAAAAAUAAAGACGAUUCUUUAGAAUAAACGAGCCA
Molecule: long non-coding RNA, 2385 nt
Filed under: Sus scrofa (pig)
Lineage: Eukaryota; Metazoa; Chordata; Mammalia; Artiodactyla; Suidae
Description: lncRNA (ENSSSCG00070006552.1)
Source: RNAcentral